GAUGAAGGAACGUAGCGAAAUGCGAUACGUAGUGUGAAUUGCAGAAUUCAGUGAAUCAUCGAAUCUUUGAACGCACAUUGCACCUCUCGGUAUUCCGGGAGGUAUGCCUGUUCGAGCGUCAUUUGUACCCUCAAGCUCUGCUUGGUGUUGGGUGUUUGUUCCGCCUCUGUGUGUGAACUCGCCUCAAAACAAUUGGCAGCCGGCGUACUUGUUUCGGAGCGCAGCACAUUUUGCGAUCCAGAUCAACGUACAGCGGCAUCCAAGAAGCCUUAUUUAACGCUCUUGACCUCGGAUCAGGUAGGGAUACCCGCUGAACUUAAGCAUAUCAAUAAGCGGAGGA
Molecule: unclassified non-coding RNA, 340 nt
Filed under: soil metagenome
Description: partial contains 5.8S ribosomal RNA, internal transcribed spacer 2, and large subunit ribosomal RNA
Rfam family: 5.8S ribosomal RNA (bases 1-121)
Source: RNAcentral